Molecule: ribosomal RNA, 520 nt
Filed under: uncultured bacterium
Lineage: Bacteria
Description: partial 16S ribosomal RNA
Rfam family: Bacterial small subunit ribosomal RNA
Source: RNAcentral
UGGGGAAUAUUGGACAAUGGGCGCAAGCCUGAUCCAGCCAUGCCGCGUGUGUGAAGAAGGCCUUAUGGUUGUAAAGCACUUUAAGCGAGGAGGAGGCUACUUUAGUUAAUACCUAGAGAUAGUGGACGUUACUCGCAGAAUAAGCACCGGCUAACUCUGUGCCAGCAGCCGCGGUAAUACAGAGGGUGCAAGCGUUAAUCGGAUUUACUGGGCGUAAAGCGCGCGUAGGCGGCUAAUUAAGUCAAAUGUGAAAUCCCGAGCUUAACUUGGAAUUGCAUUCGAUACUGGUUAGCUAGAGUGUGGGAGAGGAUGGUAGAAUUCCAGGUGUAGCGGUGAAAUGCGUAGAGAUCUGGAGGAAUACCGAUGGCGAAGGCAGCCAUCUGGCCUAACACUGACGCUGAGGUGCGAAAGCAUGGGGAGCAAACAGGAUUAGAUACCCUGGUAGUCCAUGCCGUAAACGAUGUCUACUAGCCGUUGGGGCCUUUGAGGCUUUAGUGGCGCAGCUAACGCGAUAAGUAGA